RNAcentral lists this unclassified non-coding RNA (425 nucleotides) under soil metagenome. RNAcentral describes it as "partial contains 5.8S ribosomal RNA, internal transcribed spacer 2, and large subunit ribosomal RNA". The stretch from base 1 to 120 matches the Rfam family "5.8S ribosomal RNA", at positions 35 to 154 of the family's 154-position model. The record is from RNAcentral.
GAUGAAGAACGUAGCGAAAUGCGAUAAGUAGUGUGAAUUGCAGAAUUCCGUGAAUCAUCGAAUCUUUGAACGCACAUUGCGCCUUCUGGUAUUCCGGAAGGCAUGCCUGUUCGAGAGUCAUUAACAACCGUUUCGAUCCCUUUCUUCCAGAAAUUACAAAGAGGAAAAGGGUUUGGUUAUGGUGGAGGAGGGAAAGGGAGCGUUUAGCCUGUAAAAAAAGAGGCUGUGUUCCGCCUCCCCCCCAAAAUUGUACAGGCGGUCGUGUGCGCCCACGCAUCGAGGUGUUGUAAAAGCUGCCACGGCACUUUUCACCUGUGCAGUGCGAGAUUGGCCAGCCGGUUUAAAAACCCCUCCAAACAAUCAAAGGUUGACCUCGGAUCAGGUAGGGAUACACGCUGAACUUAAGCAUAUCAAUAAGCGGAGGA